GUAACAACUGUGGCCUCAUUAAUAAUUACUUCUGAUGGCUUCUCGCUUUUCUUUUGGUUCUGGAAAGAUUUCUGCAAGGAGGUAGCUUUCUUAGUUUUUGAAAAUCAUAACUUAACCCUCCCUGCAGGAUUCUGCCUACUGUGGAAGCAUCAUUCUUCUGCCAGCUCUAGGUACCCAGUUCUGUCCUUCUGAGGGUAGAUCACACUGUCACAAAGCACACCGGUAGGUCUGAGCAAUAGCCAAGUGGAGCUGUUGGUGGAAGUUAUAUAGAGGGAGUGUGGGCACUUAGGCAAGGUGUCCACAUUGCAUUUGAGAAGUCACUGGAAGGCUGGCCAGAGUCUGGGUAGGAAGUAAAGGCCACCAGCCAGGGCAAUCAGCAGCUCCCAGUGCUAGUAAACUGGGGAUCACAAGAAGGUAGGAUAGGAGAGAUUUUACUUGGCAGUCUUGUAGCUCUGUUGACAGCUUUUAAAUAUUUAGAUACAUAUUAUGUUGACUCCAUUUAUUCUUUUGCCCCCAGGCCUGUGAAGGUUUCAGAUGGGCCAGAUGGCUGCUUCCCAUGGACUGCCCCUGUUCUGCCCUGGCUCUGCUGGGUGUCACUGUCUCUCAUCAGCUACUCUGCACUGCCACUCCUCCUGGCUGCUCUGUCACUGGUUUUCUUGGGCCUUCACUGCCGUUGCUCUCGGGAAGUGCUAGGACUCUGCUGGUACGAAGGCUUUUUGGGAAGCACACUUGCUCCAGAUAGGAAGAAGAUUGAAGAAAUAUCAUUCUGGACAGAAGGAGAAACAUGUGAGGCCCAAAUCCAAGAGGCCCUAUGAAGUGUUAAAGAAAUUAAAAGAAGCAACUGGGCAGCCGUGAGCAGAGAGAGGAGACCAAGGUAGGCUGCAGAUGUAGAAGAAGCUUCCAAGUCCAUUAUUUUAUUUCAUGUUCAUAACCAUCCUGGGAAGAAUCCAAGAAUCCAGCUGGCUGUUACUCUUCAUGUUUUGCAGAUAAGGAAAUAAAAGUAAAAUAAGAAGAAAAAAGGUGAAUGGA
RNAcentral lists this long non-coding RNA (1029 nucleotides) under Felis catus (domestic cat). RNAcentral describes it as "lncRNA (ENSFCAG00000043767.2)". Lineage: Eukaryota; Metazoa; Chordata; Mammalia; Carnivora; Felidae. The record is from RNAcentral.